RNAcentral lists this ribosomal RNA (497 nucleotides) under uncultured bacterium. RNAcentral's name for it is "partial 16S ribosomal RNA". It matches the Rfam family "Bacterial small subunit ribosomal RNA", at positions 28 to 507 of the family's 1533-position model. The record is from RNAcentral.
GAUGAACGCUGGCGGCGUGCCUAAUACAUGCAAGUCGAGCGAACAGACGAGGAGCUUGCUCCUCUGACGUUAGCGGCGGACGGGUGAGUAACACGUGGAUAACCUACCUAUAAGACUGGGAUAACUUCGGGAAACCGGAGCUAAUACCGGAUAAUAUAUUGAACCGCAUGGUUCAAUAGUGAAAGACGGUUUUGCUGUCACUUAUAGAUGGAUCCGCGCCGCAUUAGCUAGUUGGUAAGGUAACGGCUUACCAAGGCAACGAUGCGUAGCCGACCUGUGAGGGUGAUCGGCCACACUGGAACUGGGACACGGUCCAGACUCCUACGGGAGGCAGCAGUAGGGAAUCUUCCGCAAUGGUCGAAAGCCUGGCGGAGCAACGCCGCGUGAGUGAUGACGGGUUUCGGAUCGUAAAACUCUGUUAUUGGGGAAGAACAAAUGUGUAAGUAACUAUGCACGUCUUGACGGUACCUAAUCAGAAAGCCAGGGCUAACUACGUG